RNAcentral lists this ribosomal RNA (497 nucleotides) under uncultured bacterium. RNAcentral's name for it is "partial 16S ribosomal RNA". It matches the Rfam family "Bacterial small subunit ribosomal RNA", at positions 28 to 507 of the family's 1533-position model. The record is from RNAcentral.
GAUGAACGCUGGCGGCGUGCCUAAUACAUGCAAGUCGAGCGAACAGACGAGGAGCUUGCUCCUCUGACGUUAGCGGCGGACGGGUGAGUAACACGUGGAUAACCUACCUAUAAGACUGGGAUAACUUCGGGAAACCGGAGCUAAUACCGGAUAAUAUAUUGAACCGCAUGGUUCAAUAGUGAAAUACGGUUUUGCUGUCACUUAUAGAUGGUUCCGCGCCGCUUUAGCUAGUUGGUAAGGUAACGGCUUACCAAGGCAACGAUGCGUAGCCGACCUGAGAGGGUGAUCGGCCACACUGGAACUGAGACACGGUCCAGACUCCUACGGGAGGGAGCAGUAGCGAAUCUUCCGCAAUGGGCGAAAGCCUGACGCAGCAACGCGGCGUGAGAGAUGAAGGUCUUCGGAUCGUAAAACUGUGUUAUUAGGGAAGAACAAAUGUGUAAGUAAAUAUGCACGUAUUGACGGUACCUAAUCAGAAAGCCACGGCUAACUACGUG